This 404-nucleotide ribosomal RNA is filed under the name uncultured eukaryote. RNAcentral describes it as "SSU rRNA". It matches the Rfam family "Eukaryotic small subunit ribosomal RNA", at positions 567 to 972 of the family's 1831-position model. The record is from RNAcentral.
CCAGCAGCUGCGGUAAUUCCAGCUCCAAUAGCGUAUAUUAAAGUUGUUGCAGUUAAAAAGCUCGUAGUUGGAUUUCUGGCAGGAGCGACCGGUCUCACACUCUUUGUGAAACCUGUGGUUUCCUCUGGCCUUCCUUGGGGAGACCCUGUUGGGCAUUAAGUUGUCGGGCAGGGGAUACCCAUCGUUUACUGUGAAAAAAUUAGAGUGUUUAAAGCAGGCUUAUGCCGUUGAAUAUAUUAGCAUGGAAUAAUAAGAUAGGACUUUGGUACUAUUUUGUUGGUUUGUGCACCAGAGUAAUGAUUAAUAGGGACAGUUGGGGCUAUUCGUAUUCCAUUGUCAGAGGUGAAAUUCUUGGAUUUCUGGAAGACGAACUACUGCGAAAGCAUUUAGCAAGGAUGUUUUCA